This is a non-coding RNA of Pelobates cultripes (western spadefoot toad), 633 nucleotides long. Lineage: Eukaryota; Metazoa; Chordata; Amphibia; Anura; Pelobatidae. The record is from the annotation of a GenBank genome assembly.
GAGAUGAAAACUUCUAGAUCAAAUUAGUAUCUGAUUAAAACCGAAAUCAUUGUUUUAGUCAUGUAAUCGGUCUUAGUAACAGCCAGAGGAGGUGUGGCCAGAGGUGCAUAACCAGAAACAUCUUGAUGUAACAACUAAAUGGCAGAGAAUUGAACAUUGAGACUAUAGAAGCGUAUCAUCUAUACACCAAAGCCACUCCACUAACCCAAAGUGUGUUUUGGUGCCUAUAGUAUACCUUUAACACCAGCCACAUGUCUUGUGCAAAGACAUUAGUGACUUAAUCCCCGUCAUUCUAUAGCGAAAAAUACAUGAGGUUUUAUGGCAUUAAAUUGAAACUGUACAGCACUUAUUAAAUAAAAUGCCAAAUGUUUUAUAUAUGCCGCCGCUGCCCCCAAAGCGAACUGCUGGUCAUCUAAAUGAAUGAGUCAACAUAGCAAUUAACCUGAAAAGUUGCAUAGAUAUGCAUGUCAGAGUACAAAAAAAGUUUAGUAUAUUGUUUACAGUAUCGCUAUCUCCCAAGGCCAAUUACAGGGUGAGCUGCUGUGGUUUUUUUAUUUUAUUUUGUGAUCAAACAUUGCAAUCCAGUAUAAAAAAAAUAAAUCAAAAAAAUCAAAUAGUGACAACAUUGGAGAC